UCCCAGGGAGGUGUUGGUCAUUCCCUGGUGCCCAGGGAACUCUUGCCAUCACUCUCUCUUCUCCUGUUAAGAUAACACACGUGACAGUGGACCACAUAGCCCGCUACAUCUCACCCAGUGGCAGUAUCGAGUCCGCGCCCAAAGAAUUUGAACUCUAUGGAAUGAGAGACAUCUCAGGGAAGAGAACUCUUUUGGGAACAUUCACCUACGAUCAGAGUGGCGAGUCGACGCAGACAUUUCAGCUGCCUAACCCAACUGACGACAUAUAUCGUGGUGUGGAGAUGCAUGUCCUCAGUAACUGGGGACAAGCGGAAUAUACAUGUCUUUAUCGCUUCCGUGUGCAUGGGAAGAUCGCCUCCCCAUGAAUUUGAAAAUAAACUGUCCCUCUCUCUGUA
Long non-coding RNA from Platichthys flesus (European flounder), 395 nucleotides. RefSeq lists it as uncharacterized. Lineage: Eukaryota; Metazoa; Chordata; Actinopteri; Pleuronectiformes; Pleuronectidae. The transcript is spliced from 3 exons. The record is from RefSeq and is a predicted model, not a curated record.